RNAcentral lists this ribosomal RNA (429 nucleotides) under uncultured bacterium. Its description in RNAcentral is "bacterial SSU rRNA". It matches the Rfam family "Bacterial small subunit ribosomal RNA", at positions 29 to 506 of the family's 1533-position model. The record is from RNAcentral.
ACGAACGCUGGCGGCAGGCUUAACACAUGCAAGUCGAACGCCCCGCAAGGGGAGUGGCAGACGGGUGAGUAACGCGUGGGAACAUACCCUUUCCUGCGGAAUAGCUCCGGGAAACUGGAAUUAAUACCGCAUACGCCCUACGGGGGAAAGAUUUAUCGGGGAAGGAUUGGCCCGCGUUGGAUUAGCUAGUUGGUGGGGUAAAGGCCUACCAAGGCGACGAUCCAUAGCUGGUCUGAGAGGAUGAUCAGCCACAUUGGGACUGAGACACGGCCCAAACUCCUACGGGAGGCAGCAGUGGGGAAUAUUGGACAAUGGGCGCAAGCCUGAUCCAGCCAUGCCGCGUGAGUGAUGAAGGCCUUAGGGUUGUAAAGCUCUUUCACCGAUGAAGAUAAUGACGGUAGUCGGAGAAGAAGCCCCGGCUAACUUCGU